CAGAAUUAAUCACAUGACAGAAUCUCUUAUAACUGGAAAAUCAUUUCACACGAUGACUUGCUGAGGUUUUUCUUAAUGAAGAAAAAAGAAGUCAGUAUCAACACAGUGAACAUUAAAGGACUCUGUGUACAUGUGGAAAACGGGCAGCCAGGUCAAAGGCCAAAUCCCCAGGAGCUCGGGCAUCACUCCAGUCCUUCCACCUUUGAGUGUGACACAGCUGACUAGCUGAUGACAACACAGCCACCCUUCACUCCUGGAAAAUUCAAUAAGCUCAAAAACUGACUUUACUAUAGUAACAAAUGAAG
Molecule: long non-coding RNA, 305 nt
Organism: Ochotona princeps (American pika)
Lineage: Eukaryota; Metazoa; Chordata; Mammalia; Lagomorpha; Ochotonidae
Exons: 3
Source: RefSeq, a predicted model, not a curated record